GGAGACGUGGCCGAGAGGCUGAAGGCACUUCCCUGCUAAGGAAGCAUACGGGCUUAAACCUGUAUCGAGGGUUCGAAUCCCUCCGUCUCCGCCA
RNAcentral lists this transfer RNA (94 nucleotides) under Advenella kashmirensis W13003. Its description in RNAcentral is "tRNA-Ser". It matches the Rfam family "tRNA". From Rfam's summary of the family: Transfer RNA (tRNA) molecules are approximately 80 nucleotides in length. Their secondary structure includes four short double-helical elements and three loops (D, anti-codon, and T loops). Further hydrogen bonds mediate the characteristic L-shaped molecular structure. tRNAs have two regions of fundamental functional importance: the anti-codon, which is responsible for specific mRNA codon recognition, and the 3' end, to which the tRNAs corresponding amino acid is attached (by aminoacyl-tRNA synthetases). tRNAs cope with the degeneracy of the genetic code in two manners: having more than one tRNA (with a specific anti-codon) for a particular amino acid; and 'wobble' base-pairing, i.e. permitting non-standard base-pairing at the 3rd anti-codon position. The record is from RNAcentral. Lineage: Bacteria; Pseudomonadati; Pseudomonadota; Betaproteobacteria; Burkholderiales; Alcaligenaceae. RNAcentral also lists the same sequence under 1 other name.